UGUUGCCUUGGGGCUAUUCUUUGGCAAACCA
RNAcentral lists this non-coding RNA (31 nucleotides) under Mus musculus (house mouse). Lineage: Eukaryota; Metazoa; Chordata; Mammalia; Rodentia; Muridae. The record is from RNAcentral.